AGCCCCAUAGUUCAAUGGAUAGAACAAAAGUUUCCUAAACUUUAGAUCUAGGUUCGAUUCCUAGUGGGGCUACUA
RNAcentral lists this transfer RNA (75 nucleotides) under Flavobacteriaceae bacterium. RNAcentral's name for it is "tRNA-Arg". It matches the Rfam family "tRNA". From Rfam's summary of the family: Transfer RNA (tRNA) molecules are approximately 80 nucleotides in length. Their secondary structure includes four short double-helical elements and three loops (D, anti-codon, and T loops). Further hydrogen bonds mediate the characteristic L-shaped molecular structure. tRNAs have two regions of fundamental functional importance: the anti-codon, which is responsible for specific mRNA codon recognition, and the 3' end, to which the tRNAs corresponding amino acid is attached (by aminoacyl-tRNA synthetases). tRNAs cope with the degeneracy of the genetic code in two manners: having more than one tRNA (with a specific anti-codon) for a particular amino acid; and 'wobble' base-pairing, i.e. permitting non-standard base-pairing at the 3rd anti-codon position. RNAcentral also lists the same sequence under 1 other name. Lineage: Bacteria; Pseudomonadati; Bacteroidota; Flavobacteriia; Flavobacteriales; Flavobacteriaceae. The record is from RNAcentral.